GAGCGGCUUGCGUGGUAUUAGCUAGUUGGUGAGGUAACGGCUCACCAAGGCUACGAUGCCUAGGGGAUGUUAGCGCAUGAUCCCCACCACUGGGACUGAGAUACUGCCCAGACACCUACGGGUGGCUGCAGUCGAGAAUCUUCGGCAAUGGGGGAAACCCUGACCGAGCGACGCCGCGUGUGGAUGAAGGCCCUUGGGUUGUAAACCACUGUCAGAGGGGAUGAAGUGCCGGAAAGCUAUCUUUCCGGUUUGACAUAGCCUCAGAGGAAGCACGGGCUAAGUUCGUGCCAGCAGCCGCGGUAAGACGAACUGUGCAAACGUUAUUCGGAAUCACUGGGCUUGAAGAGUGCGUAGGCGGUUUCGUAAGUAGGGUGUGAAAGCCCUCGGCUCAACCGGGGAAUUGCGUCCUAAACUGCGAGGCUGGAGUGAGGUAGGGGUGUGUGGAACUUCCAGUGGAGCGGUGAAAUGUGUUGAUAUUGGAAGG
RNAcentral lists this ribosomal RNA (484 nucleotides) under uncultured Planctomycetota bacterium. Its description in RNAcentral is "bacterial SSU rRNA". It matches the Rfam family "Bacterial small subunit ribosomal RNA", at positions 224 to 704 of the family's 1533-position model. Lineage: Bacteria; Pseudomonadati; Planctomycetota. The record is from RNAcentral.